This 404-nucleotide ribosomal RNA is filed under the name uncultured bacterium. Its description in RNAcentral is "bacterial SSU rRNA". It matches the Rfam family "Bacterial small subunit ribosomal RNA", at positions 355 to 776 of the family's 1533-position model. The record is from RNAcentral.
UGGGGAAUAUUGGACAAUGGGGGCAACCCUGAUCCAGCCAUGCCGCGUGAGUGAUGAAGGCCCUAGGGUUGUAAAGCUCUUUCAGCGAGGAGGAUAAUGACGUUACUCGCAGAAGAAGCCCCGGCUAACUUCGUGCCAGCAGCCGCGGUAAUACGAAGGGGGCUAGCGUUGUUCGGAAUCACUGGGCGUAAAGCGCACGUAGGCGGAUUGGUCAGUUAGGGGUGAAAUCCCAGAGCUCAACUCUGGAACUGCCUUUAAUACUGCCAGUCUUGAGUCCGAGAGAGGUGAGUGGAACUCCGAGUGUAGAGGUGAAAUUCGUAGAUAUUCGGAAGAACACCAGUGGCGAAGGCGGCUCACUGGCUCGGUACUGACGCUGAGGUGCGAAAGCGUGGGGAGCAAACAGG